RNAcentral lists this ribosomal RNA (253 nucleotides) under uncultured bacterium. Its description in RNAcentral is "partial 16S ribosomal RNA". It matches the Rfam family "Bacterial small subunit ribosomal RNA", at positions 524 to 776 of the family's 1533-position model. The record is from RNAcentral.
UACGUAGGUGGCAAGCGUUGUCCGGAUUUAUUGGGUUUAAAGGGUGCGUAGGCGGUCCCUUAAGUCAGUGCUGAAAUACUCUAGCUUAACUAGAGGGGUGGCAUUGAUACUGGGGGACUUGAAUGAAGUCGAGGUAGGCGGAAUUGACGGUGUAGCGGUGAAAUGCUUAGAUAUCGUCAAGAACACCGAUAGUGAAGACAGCUUACUAGGCUUAAAUUGACGCUGAGGCACGAAAGUGUGGGGAUCAAACAGG